AUCACCAAGGGAACUUGUUAAAAUGCAAAUUCUAAUUUGAAGAAUUAGAUCAGGAAUGAAGUUGAAGAUUUUGCACUUUUAGCAAGCUCCUAGGGGAUGCCAG
This 103-nucleotide microRNA precursor is filed under the name Canis lupus familiaris (dog). RNAcentral's name for it is "mir-544 microRNA precursor family". It matches the Rfam family "mir-544 microRNA precursor family". RNAcentral also lists the same sequence under 1 other name. The record is from Rfam by way of RNAcentral. Lineage: Eukaryota; Metazoa; Chordata; Mammalia; Carnivora; Canidae.